Molecule: long non-coding RNA, 1210 nt
Filed under: Bemisia tabaci
Lineage: Eukaryota; Metazoa; Arthropoda; Insecta; Hemiptera; Aleyrodidae
Description: lncRNA ENSSSA2NGG007817
Source: RNAcentral
CUGUUCCUGAAUGCGACCGAGCAUUGAAUUUACUAGUGCUUCUUUUACCAAAUGAAAACCGAGCCACAUUGUUGGCACUAAUAUCUUUUCUAUCUCAGUUAAUCAUCAACCAAGCAUCCAACAAAUGUCUGCUCACAAUGUUGCCAUGAUAGUUGCUCCAUCCUUAUUUCCACCCAGGUAUUUAAUCUCCCACCGUUCUCAUUAUUUUUUCCUAACGGUUCUCACCUAUAAAAAUUCACAGGAACAAUAGAACAACUCAUUUCAUACGCUAUUAUUAACCCGCAGAGGCAGAAAAUAUUUUCUCCUUGUAACAAAUUUGUACAAAUGUAAAAUGAUUCUCUCUUCAAAAAUAAAAGGAGAGUAACACUACUUCCUAGAAAUAAUAUUUGCCCCAACUCGAAAUGCUCACAAAGUUCAUAACUUGUGUAUAUUUGGCCUAAAGUGAUUUUGCUGACACUAUUAAAGAUAGUUCAAAUGAUAGAAACAUUCCUGGAAUGAAUGAUCUAUGAAUAUUUGUCUGAUGCCACCCAAUCAUGAAGGUAUUUAACAAUUCAUGGUUUGUGAUUUGUUCAGUGUUAGCUAAAUAAUAGACCAUCAAAAUCUUGAGCCAUAAUUUUUGGUAAAUUGAUAGCUUUGGCAGUGAUAUUCUCUAAUGUCAUGUAUCUCUCAUGCUCUGUAGGUAAGUGAGGAAUCCUUGAUGUAAAAUGAUUUGUUUUCUUGCGUUAAGAUUUUUUAUUUUGUUCUUUUUUUCAGUUACUUACGCUUGGAUAAGAGGAUUUACAAGCCCAAGUUAAAGUCGCUGCUGUCAGUUGUCGAUUGACCGAAAACUUCUUGAGUGUGGGGAAUCAUUAUGGGUUGUCCUCCUUCUCUCAUCGCCCAGUUGAGGCACAACAAUGACCAGUUGCGAUAUCGGUUAAAAGAGAACAAAAAGCCUAUGAAGAAACUACUAGGAAGAAAAGAUAUCCGUGAUUGGAUCAUGCGCAAAAUCGACAAUGAAGUCGAUUACCAAGAAGGCAUAGUGAGGGUGAAUGCUCCGCAGUUUCUUUUGUCUCAAGAGCCGAUGGUACUCUCGGACACAACAACAGCUGGAGAUGUCGUUCUUAAGUUAGUUGAACGAGGUAUUCAGAAAUUUGACUCAACUCCUUUCAAACUUGGCCGUCGUGACAUCAAGUCUCGAGCUCUCUCCGAGCUUGCCCCAACGGGAAUUUAA